This is a long non-coding RNA of Balaenoptera musculus (blue whale), 606 nucleotides long. RefSeq lists it as uncharacterized. The record is from RefSeq and is a predicted model, not a curated record. The transcript is spliced from 3 exons. Lineage: Eukaryota; Metazoa; Chordata; Mammalia; Artiodactyla; Balaenopteridae.
CGCUGCGCCUCUGGGCAGACGCCGGCCGGGAUUGUGCCGGGAUCCGGAGCCCCCGGGUGCGCCGCAGGCUCCUUCCACUGCAUCCGGGAAAUGGCCUCGCCCUCUCCGGCCCCUGACUGCCGGUGACCUGGAAACUACCAACUAGAAUAUGUCAAAAAUCCAUUCCUGGUGGCUCAACAGUCCUGGAGACAGAGGAGCUCAUGACAGUUGCCGGGGAUAAAACGGAGGACACACUGACCUGGCCCUGUCUUCACAAAGCUUAGAUGAGUGAGGGAGACCAACUACAGUAGAUUGUGGUGCUUGAAAAUACAGUGUUAAAGAGGGAAAAUACUGUGUUAAAGAGGGAAAAUUCAGUGUUAAAGAGGGAAAAUACUGUGUUAAAGAGGGAAAAUACAGUGUUAAAGAGGGAAAAGGCUUUGGGCACAAAGUUACUCACUACGAUGUUAUGUAUAACAGUGAAAAAUCAGUCACCAUCUAUGUAUCCAACAACAAAGAAAUAUAUAUACCCGCAUGGACAAUUACAUAGCUAUUAAAAUGAUGUCAUGCGUAGAGAAUGGACUUGAGGACACGGGGAAGGGGAAGGGGAAGCUGCGACGAAGUGAGAGA